Non-coding RNA from Macaca mulatta (Rhesus monkey), 3424 nucleotides. The record is from RefSeq and is a predicted model, not a curated record. NCBI's taxonomy places the organism in Eukaryota, Metazoa, Chordata, Mammalia, Primates, Cercopithecidae.
CUGGAGAAAAUCUGGUCUCCUUAAAAAUAAUUUUUUUAAAAAAACAAAAAUCCUUUUUAAAAAUAAGACACUCUAAUUGUGCCACGGAAAUUCCACUGGCUAGUCUUUCACUUCCCCACAGGCAGCCAGACUUUUUCCCCUUCCCAGGAAGUCCCUUCCAAGGCUCUGAGUAUGCCAAGGAUCUACCAUUUUUGUGAUUGAUUCUCUCCUUUCUCCCCACUCAAGCACUUUGAUGCUGGGACAAAAGAAAUCCAUGCUUUUUCUUUCCAUGGCUAUGGGGCUUCUCGUCCUCCUCUCCCACUGGCAGACUGCUCUUCUGGUCUGUGGCUCCUUUCUGAGCUGUGUGUAACAAGGAAGUCUCACUGCAGACGUUAGCCCCCUGUGUUCCAACCUAGCUCCAUGAUAUUCUAUCCUUGCAUGGUUCUUUAUAAGCUCUCAGAGGCUAAGGCAGCAUUUCCCUGUGUGUGAACCACACACACUAGUUCUAUGACAUAUUAAUUGAUAGGUGCUAUAUGAAAGCAAAAAAAAAAGUACAGUCAUAGAAGUUUGGGAAAUGCUGGGUUAAAAUGAAGUUAGAGAUUACUUUGUACAGGACUUCUACAGCCUUUAGAACAAUACAUGGGGUACGAAUCUCUAAGAGGAGAGUAACCAACUUUUAUCAAGUAAUGCUUUCGGGGAAGCUAGGGUUCAAGGGUGAGGAAGGCACAGUGGACCUGAAAGCAUUUGUGAUCCAUACAAAAGCAACUAAAACAACUGCAUUCCUAAGGCUUCUACUUAGAAUUGUGUCUUCUACUUAGAACCCACAAAAAACCAAAAGGCAUAAAAGAGAAGCUAAGUUAUAAAGAUGGAAAAAACAUACCUGGUCAAAAAUCCCCAUGGCUAAAACAGGCAGUGAUGUGUAAACAAUGUUAAAAAGGGUGAUGAACCACUGGUCAUAAACAGUCUGAAAAGAAAUAUAACAUAUAAAUGAGAAAGACCAUCCAUAGUAGUGAGAAUAUUCACGUUUAAGUCGUGAAAAUAUUCACCUUUAGGUUAAAUAACCAGGUUUUCUGAGGUAAGUGGGAGUUGACUUUUGGAAUCAGACAAAUAUGAGUUCUCUCCUGGACCUGCCUCUUAUCAGCUCUGCUGCCUUAAUGGGAUACUAGAUCUCUCUAAAUAGCAAUUUCAUUAUCUCUAAAGUGGUGUAUACCCUUCCUGCAGCAUGGCAGUGAGGACAAUAAUACAUGCAGUACCCCUAACAUAGUGCGGGACACGUAUGAGCCCCCUGACCUUGUGGUGGGUUGCUAUUUCAUUCUCCAGGCUUUCAGUGGCUUGUAAUGAGUCCAAUUAUCUGACCUAAGUGGUAAACAAAGGAUUCACUAAAAUCUUCAGAGAUAAGUAUAGUAAUGAGCCUGUUAUUUCUAUCCUGUUUUAAAAUGGAGAGGUUUUUGCGGGGGAGUGGUUUAAAGUAAGAUGGGCAUGAAGCUACAUGCUCACUAUACUGGGCAUAAACAAGCAAAACAAUAAAAAUAUCCCCUCACACCUUUGUAGAGUAAUUACACAAGAAUUCCCUGCAUGGGCCUCACUAAAAGUCAAUGAGGCAUGUGGAGCAGGCAUAUAUCCCCAUUUUGCCAAUGAGUACACACAGAUGUGGAAACAGAACCUUUCAGUUACAGCGCUUAUUACGGACAAAAGCAAAAAUUAAAAUCCAGGUCUUCAGCUGCUAACCAAUGCCCCUUUUACCACUCCAUCAUUCAUUCACUUAUUCAUUCAUUCAAUAUUUACUGAUAAACUGCUAUGUGCUAAGCAUUAGGUUCUAGUCAAUGAUAAUUCAGCAUGAUCAAUCAAAUAAAAAUUCCUCACGAAAUGUACAUUCUAAUGCAAAGGGAAGGGAAUAAACAAGAUCAAAUUUACAGAGAGCAGGAGGACUGUGUGAGUAAAUUAGUUAGAAGGUAGUAAGUGCUAGAGAGGAAAGGGGAUAGGGAAUGUGGGAGGGCUGUAAUUGUAAUACAGGGACUGGAGAAAGUCUCACUGAGAAGUGAAUUUGAGAUAAGAUCUGAAGGAAAUGGGCCUAACAUGCAGCUUUCUGAAACAGCUGGAAAUGCUGGGACAUCCAGCAUUCCAUACUGCAAGUAGGCCCCAUGAAACAAUCCUAAGGCAAGAAAGCAUCCACUGUGCUCAGAGAACAGCAAGGUGGGCUGGUUGGGUAGAGCAGAGUGACCUGUAGGAAGAAUAAUGGAUGUCAGGAGGUAAGAAGAACAAUCCUAUGUAACUAAACAUGGCUUAUUACCUAAGAGAAAGUAGAAGACAUCAGAGGACUUUAAGCAAAAGAGCAACCUGGUCUUAUUUACAUUUUAACAGGAUCACUCUGGAUGCUAUGCCGAGAAGCAACUGAAGAGAGAGGUGGAAAUGGGAAAGCUUAACACUCAGAGUAACCGUUUCUAAUAACGAAUUUUAAGUUCUGUGCAUGAGCAGCUGACACAAAUCUUCAACCCGUUGAUGAUGGCAUCUGACAGUUUCAGCUAUUAAGAAGAGAGAAAGAAUCUGAGAAAUUAUGGCAUACUCAACUGUGGACAGCUGAGUCUGGCAUAGUGUGCCCUCAUCAUCACAAACAGGCUCGCAUUACAAGCUACACUUAUUCGACAACUAUCAGCAUUUGUCAACUGGCACCCAGAUUUGAAGCCUCAUUUCACAACUGGAGCAAGAGAGGACAGGAAGGAAAAAUCAGAAUAAGGUUUCAAUGAGUUUCUGCAAAUUCUCAGAAAUCAGUGUCACAAUAACAAAAAGAAAAAAAAAUAGCUGCUAUUUACUAAACAUCUACUCUGUGCCAUUUUAAGUGCUUUACAUAUAGCGUCUCAUUAAAUUUUAACAACCCCAUGAGGUAGGUACUGUUAACAGUUCUCAGUUUAUAAAUGGGAAAACUGAGGGCUAUCAAGGUUAGGAGAUGGCUCAAUGCCAUACCUUAAAUGCAAAGGUUUUCUCCAGGAUGUGCUUAUUUCACAUUGCAUGCCUGUAUCAAAAUAUCUCAUGUACCUAAUAAAUACAUACACCUACUAUGUACCCACAAUUUUUUAAUUAUAUUUUUAAAAACCCAAAGGGGAAAAAAAGGUUUUCCAAGUGUAGUUCAGAACAUUUUAGGGGAUCCAUAAUGUCAAAACUAUUUUCAGAAUAAUACAAAAAGUUAUGUAUUUACCCUUUCACCCCAUUCUCUCAUGAGUGUAUGAUAUGUGACAUCACAGCUGGCUGAAUGCAGGUGAUAUGAGAACCCAGGUGUUUUCUAUUAUGUUAACUAGUUUUACAAAAGUGUGAAACAAUGGCAUUCUUCCCAUUAACUUGUUUUUUUUUUCAGAAAAUAUAAGCAUUUUUCUUAAAAAUAUGUUACUUUUGUAAACGUGUCAUGGGUUCACCAUUUUUUAACAAAUUAAUAAAAGUGUUUAGAUUUUUU